CUGAGCACUUUUCAUAGAAAUGAAUGCGGAAACCAUCUUGGAAGACAAAAGUAGCUGCCUCUAGUAACAUAGCUAACUCUAUGCCAUCAAUAGACCAUCAAUCACCAGUGGUCAGUGGUCUGGAGAACUUCUUGUUGUGAGCAACUUGAAAUGCAGCGUUUCUGCAAAUGUUGUUGUGUUUUGGACUAAUGCUGCGGUGUUCUCAGCUAAUACUGCUUUGUUCUCGGCUAAUGCUGCGGUGUUCUCGGCUAAUACUGCUGUGUUCUUUCUUGUGUUCUCGGCUGAUGUUGUGGUGUGAACCAAUGCUAUUGUGUCGUCACUCAAUGUUGUGGUGCUGAAAUUGCUGACUUUAUUGCCAGUGAGGAUGCCAGACUUUUGUGCAGCCUACGGAUGCUCUAAUCGCCGUUGUCUCGAAACGAAAACCCGUGGGAUCACCUUUCACCUGUUUCCCAAAACCGGAGAGAGGAGGAGGAAGUGGGAAGUUGCCCUAAGAAGGGACGGUUUUUCUGCCUCUGACAGGACACUGCUCUGCAGUGAGCACUUCAGGAGUGAGGACUUUGACAGGACGGGGCAGACUGUCCGGCUUAAAGAUGGUGUUGUGCCAACCAUUUUCAACUUUCCAGCUCAUCUUCAAAGGUCGGGAGCAACAAGAAGCACAACCACUUGUAGUAGAGUGGAUGACAACCUGCCAAUGGACUUGAUGCCUGAUGUUGGAGCCACUGGAGAGAGGAGAUUGGGGCACAAGCGGCAGGCCACUGACCACUUAUAUACAUUGCCUGCUUCCCCUGAGGCUAUAAAGGCCAAACUUGAAGAAGCCUCAGUGAGAGUGAGGAAACUGCAGCGGGAGAAGAGUAAUGCCCUGAGGAGAGAAAAGAGGGCCAAGAACAACAUGCAGGCUCUUGUGGAGGAACUGAAGGAGACACAUCUAAUCAACGAAGAGCUGAAAGACAAGCUUGAAUGCUACUAAGGUCCUCUCUGUCCUGGGCUACAUCAUAAACAUUGACACGUUGAUGUCGAUGGUUCCUGUGCUGAUUGAAGGACAGCGAUAUGUCCUGACCUACAGAUUCAGCCAGGACCACUUGGAACUUCUCUUUAACUCCAUCAGAGCAUCCGGUGGCUGGAAUAAGAACCCUAAUGCCAGACAGUUCAAGUACAUCUUUAGAAAGCUGAUGGCCCGGUGUGGAGUUGUUAAACCAUGCAGAGGCAAUGUGACAGCACAGGAUGAGGCAGAGUCCCUACCAGCGGUCAUCGACACCUCUACAGGCCUAUCAGCUGUAGAUAUGUCCUCUGCAGCAGGAGGAGAAGAUCUUCCAUCCCCGUUUGCUGACAUUCCUGCCCAAGUUCAUGACCACAGCUACCUUCCCUCCUGUGAUGUCUGCCAUGCCAGCCUGGUGACAGAUGCUGCAUCUGCCAUCAAGGACCAGAGCUACCACCUGCUGUCUCUAAAAAAAAUGGAGGCCUGGUGAUUCCAUCAGAGGGCACAAUGAGGGUCGUCAGGGCAGCAGAGUGGCUCAUUCGCCAGGCAUCAUCAAGUUUCAGACGAUCACAGCCCAUCAAACUGCUAGAGGUCAUGUACAUUGUACGGAAGAGGAUCGGGUCAGAGGAUGUGUUUGUGCUCGGGGAGCACAUCGGCGACACGCAGUAUGGCAUAGACAGCCACCACCAUACGCUGCAAACAUUAAUUGUGUCCCUGUUUUUUAAGCUAAGGCUAAACCACAUCGCUAAAAUGACUACACUUAGCUUACAGAGUAACAACAUGCGACAGAAGCUCAAUAAAACAGUCCUUUUCAAAUGGCAUUAUCCCAA
Osmerus eperlanus (European smelt) is the source of this 1806-nucleotide RNA transcript. It is a transcript of the gene named THAP domain-containing protein 6-like, with no coding region annotated. NCBI's taxonomy places the organism in Eukaryota, Metazoa, Chordata, Actinopteri, Osmeriformes, Osmeridae. The transcript has 7 exons. The record is from RefSeq and is a predicted model, not a curated record.